GUGCUUGCUUUGGCAGCACGUAUACUAAAACUGGAAUGAUAAGAGAAGAUGAAGCAUGACCCCUGCUAAGGAUGACACGUGGAUUCGUGACGGGUUCCAUGUUUUU
This is a small nuclear RNA of Antechinus flavipes (yellow-footed antechinus), 106 nucleotides long. The record is from RefSeq and is a predicted model, not a curated record. Lineage: Eukaryota; Metazoa; Chordata; Mammalia; Dasyuromorphia; Dasyuridae.